GAUGAACGCUAGCGGCAGGCCUAAUACAUGCAAGUCGAACGGGAUCUGAGGGUAGCUUGCUACCCGAUUUGAGAGUGGCGCACGGGUGCGUAACGCGCGAGCAACCUACCCAUAUCAGGGGGAUAGCCCGAAGAAAUUCGGAUUAACACCGCAUAAUAAUACGCUAACACAUGUUAAUGUAUUUAAAUAUUUAUAGGAUAUGGAUGGGCUCGCGUGACAUUAGCUAGUUGGUAAGGUAACGGCUUACCAAGGCGACGAUGUCUAGGGGCUCUGAGAGGGGAAUCCCCCACACGGGUACUGAGACACGGACCAGACGCCUACGGGAGGCAGCAGUAAGGAAUAUUGGUCAAUGGGCGCAAGCCUGAACCAGCCAUGCCGCGUGCAGGAUGACUGCCCUAUGGGUUGUAAACUGCUUUUGUUAGGGAAUAAACCUACUUAUGUAUAAGUAGCUGAAUGUACCUAAAGAAUAAGGAUCGGCUAACUCCGUGCCAGCCGCCGCCGUAA
RNAcentral lists this ribosomal RNA (504 nucleotides) under uncultured bacterium. RNAcentral describes it as "partial 16S ribosomal RNA". It matches the Rfam family "Bacterial small subunit ribosomal RNA", at positions 28 to 523 of the family's 1533-position model. The record is from RNAcentral.